Molecule: ribosomal RNA, 373 nt
Filed under: Alkalispirochaeta alkalica
Lineage: Bacteria; Pseudomonadati; Spirochaetota; Spirochaetia; Spirochaetales; Spirochaetaceae
Description: partial 16S ribosomal RNA
Rfam family: Bacterial small subunit ribosomal RNA
Source: RNAcentral
CUUCGGAGCUGUAUUAGAUCAUGGAGAGUUUGAUCCUGGCUCAGAACGAACGCUGGCGGCGCGUUUUAAGCAUGCAAGUCGAGGGGUAGAAGCGCUUCGGUGCUUUGAGACCGGCGAACGGGUGAGUAACACGUAGGUGAUCUGCCGUGAGGUUGGGGAUAGCCUGUGGAAACACAGGGUAAUACCGAAUGAGCUUCUGACACUGUGGUGACAGGAGGAAAGGGGCGAGUGCCCCGCCUUACGAUGAGCCUGCGGCUGAUUAGCUAGUUGGUGGGGUAAAGGCCUACCAAGGCGACGAUCAGUAGCCGGCCUGAGAGGGUGAUCGGCCACACUGGGACUGAGAUACGGCCCAGACUCCUACGGGAGGCAGCAG